AUGGAUAAUGCCAGUUAUGCAUAUAAUGAACACAAAUUUAAUAAAGCAAUGGAUGAUCUCAAAGCUGAGAGUGUGGAAGCUUGGCAGUGGCUUAGUGCAAUACCCAAGAAAACAUGGGCUAGGCAUGCAUUUGACACAAAUAGCAAGACUGACUUGGUUGUCAACAAUUUGUCAGAGGUGUUUAACAAGUACAUCCUAGAUCAUAGGAAAAAACCAAUAAGAACUAUGUGUGAUGGCAUAAAGGAUAAGCAGAUGGUUAGGUGGCACAGGAAUAGAGAGAGUGGAAGGGAAGCUAGAUGGGAGAUCACACCACAUUACAGUGAGAAGUUGGAGAUUGAAAAGGAAAGGGCCAGGUACUGCAAACCCAUUCAAGCAGGUGUUAACUUGUGGCAAGUAACUAGUGGUGAGCAAACACAUGCUGUCAAUUUGGAAGUUGAAACCUGUGGUUGCAGAAAGUGGGACCUCAGUGGCAUCCCAUGUAACCAUGCCAUCUCAGCAAUCAACAAGGCAAAAAGGUUUCCAGAGGACUUUGUAAGCAAAUUCUUCAAGAAACCAUAUUAUUCGGCAGCAUAUGAACCAAUGAUAUAUCCUGUCCCUGGUGAGCAUGACUGGACAAAGACCCCAGGUCCAGACAUAGAACCACCAGCAUUUAAAGUGAAGAAAGGAAGAAGGAAAGAGAAGAGAAUAAAGGGAAAAUUUGAAGUUCCAAAGCCAAAGUCCACCUCAAGAAUGGGGACAAUAACUUGUAGCAAUUGUGGAUUACAAGGGCAUAAAUACACAAACUGCCUUAAACAGUUGAAACCUGAGUUGGCCUUAAGAAAGAACAAACAUGUGGUAAGCCCCUUUGUACCAGUUCUUCAUUUUGAUGUUUCUGUAAAUUACCUUUCUUAUUUGUAG
RNAcentral lists this ribosomal RNA (897 nucleotides) under Triticum aestivum (bread wheat). RNAcentral describes it as "partial small subunit ribosomal RNA". The record is from RNAcentral. Lineage: Eukaryota; Viridiplantae; Streptophyta; Magnoliopsida; Poales; Poaceae.